This 384-nucleotide ribosomal RNA is filed under the name Candidatus Aenigmatarchaeota archaeon. Its description in RNAcentral is "partial 23S ribosomal RNA". It matches the Rfam family "Archaeal large subunit ribosomal RNA", at positions 2595 to 2987 of the family's 2987-position model. Lineage: Archaea; Nanobdellati; Candidatus Aenigmatarchaeota. The record is from RNAcentral.
UCGCUGUCGGCUGGCCCUCUCCUGGCUGCGCAGCAGCAGCCAAGGGUGACGGAGUUCACGUAUUAAAAGGGCACCUUAGUUGGGUUCAGAACGGCGCGAGCCAGUUUGGUCUAUAUCUGCUAGAGGUGUUGCUGCCUGAGAGGAAGGAAGGAUAAGUACGAAAGGAACAUCCUUCCGUGGCCACUUGUUCACCAGCUGUCCGACAGGGCAAGCUGGGUAGCUACGCCAUACGCUGAUAAGGCCUGAAAGCAUCUAAGGCCUAAGCAGCUCUCAAAAAUAGGCAGUAGGCAACCGGCAAGACUACCGGUCAUGGAAGCGGGAUGUACGCACGAAGCUUCGGCGACGUGUUCAGUCCACGCUCUCCUACGCCAAUGCUAGCCUUUA